RNAcentral lists this ribosomal RNA (2918 nucleotides) under Aeromonas hydrophila. RNAcentral describes it as "bacterial LSU rRNA". It matches the Rfam family "Bacterial large subunit ribosomal RNA". Lineage: Bacteria; Pseudomonadati; Pseudomonadota; Gammaproteobacteria; Aeromonadales; Aeromonadaceae. The record is from RNAcentral.
GUUGUAUGGUUAAGUGACUAAGCGUACAUGGUGGAUGCCUUGGCAGUCAGAGGCGAUGAAGGACGUACUAACCUGCGAUAAGCCGUGAGCAGUCGGUAAGAGACAUUACGACUCACGGAUUUCCGAAUGGGGAAACCCACUUAGCAUAAGCUAGGUAUCGCUGCGUGAAUACAUAGCGUAGCGAGGCGAACCGGGAGAACUGAAACAUCUAAGUACCCCGAGGAAAAGAAAUCAACCGAGAUUCCCUCAGUAGCGGCGAGCGAACGGGGAUUAGCCCUUAAGCAUCUUGGAAGUUAGUGGAACGGUCCUGGAAAGGCCGGCGAUACAGGGUGAUAGCCCCGUACACGAAAACAACCUUGAUGUGAAAUCGAGUAGGGCGGGACACGUGACAUCCUGUCUGAAUAUGGGGGGACCAUCCUCCAAGGCUAAAUACUCCUGACUGACCGAUAGUGAACCAGUACCGUGAGGGAAAGGCGAAAAGAACCCCUGUGAGGGGAGUGAAAUAGAACCUGAAACCGUGUACGUACAAGCAGUGGGAGCCCUUCGGGGUGACUGCGUACCUUUUGUAUAAUGGGUCAGCGACUUACAUUUUGUAGCGAGGUUAACCGUAUAGGGGAGCCGUAGGGAAACCGAGUCUUAACUGGGCGUCUAGUUGCAAGGUGUAGACCCGAAACCGGGUGAUCUAGCCAUGGGCAGGUUGAAGGUUGAGUAACAUCAACUGGAGGACCGAACCCACUAACGUUGCAAAGUUAGGGGAUGACCUGUGGCUGGGGGUGAAAGGCCAAUCAAACUCGGAGAUAGCUGGUUCUCCCCGAAAGCUAUUUAGGUAGCGCCUCGGACGAAUACUACUGGGGGUAGAGCACUGUUUGGGCUAGGGGGUCAUCCCGACUUACCAACCCCAUGCAAACUCCGAAUACCAGUAAGUAAUAUCCGGGAGACACACGGCGGGUGCUAACGUCCGUCGUGAAGAGGGAAACAACCCAGACCGCCGGCUAAGGUCCCAAAGUUCUGGUUAAGUGGGAAACGAUGUGGGAAGGCUCAGACAGCUAGGAUGUUGGCUUAGAAGCAGCCAUCAUUUAAAGAAAGCGUAAUAGCUCACUAGUCGAGUCGGCCUGCGCGGAAGAUGUAACGGGGCUCAAACCAGGCACCGAAGCCGCGGAUUCACGCUAAGCGUGAGUGGUAGGGGAGCGUUCUGUAAGUCUGCGAAGGUGUAUCGAGAGGUAUGCUGGAGAUAUCAGAAGUGCGAAUGCUGACGUAAGUAACGAUAAAGGGGGUGAAAAGCCUCCUCGCCGGAAGACCAAGGGUUCCUGUCCAACGUUAAUCGGGGCAGGGUGAGUCGACCCCUAAGGCGAGGCCGAAAGGCGUAGUCGAUGGGAAGCAGGUUAAUAUUCCUGCACGACUUGUAAUUGCGAUGGGGGGACGGAGAAGGCUAGGUGGGCCAGGCGACGGUUGUCCUGGUGAAAGUGCGUAGGUGGUGUUUCUAGGCAAAUCCGGAGACACAACACUGAGACACGAGACGAACACACUACGGUGUGGAAGCCAUUGAUGCCCUGCUUCCAGGAAAAGCCUCUAAGCUUCAGAUUACAAGUCAUCGUACCCCAAACCGACACAGGUGGUCGGGUAGAGAAUACCAAGGCGCUUGAGAGAACUCGGGUGAAGGAACUAGGCAAAAUAGAACCGUAACUUCGGGAGAAGGUUCGCUCUUGACAGUGAAGUCCCUUGCGGAUGGAGCAGUUGGGAGUCGCAGUGACCAGAUGGCUGGGACUGUUUAUCAAAAACACAGCACUCUGCAAACACGAAAGUGGACGUAUAGGGUGUGACACCUGCCCGGUGCCGGAAGGUUAAUUGAUGGGGUUAGCGCAAGCGAAGCUCUUGAUCGAAGCCCCGGUAAACGGCGGCCGUAACUAUAACGGUCCUAAGGUAGCGAAAUUCCUUGUCGGGUAAGUUCCGACCUGCACGAAUGGUGUAACCAUGGCCAUGCUGUCUCCACCCGAGACUCAGUGAAAUCGAAUUCGCCGUGAAGAUGCGGUGUACCCGCGGCUAGACGGAAAGACCCCGUGAACCUUUACUACAGCUUGGCACUGAACAUUGAACCUACAUGUGUAGGAUAGGUGGGAGGCUUUGAAGGCGUGACGCCAGUUGCGCUGGAGCCGUCCUUGAAAUACCACCCUUGUAUGUUUGAUGUUCUAACGCAGGCCCGUGAAUCCGGGUCGCGGACAGUGCCUGGUGGGUAGUUUGACUGGGGCGGUCUCCUCCCAAAGAGUAACGGAGGAGCACGAAGGUUGGCUAAUCCUGGUCGGACAUCAGGAGGUUAGUGCAAUGGCAUAAGCCAGCUUAACUGCGAGACGGACAGGUCGAGCAGGUACGAAAGUAGGUCAUAGUGAUCCGGUGGUUCUGAAUGGAAGGGCCAUCGCUCAACGGAUAAAAGGUACUCCGGGGAUAACAGGCUGAUACCGCCCAAGAGUUCAUAUCGACGGCGGUGUUUGGCACCUCGAUGUCGGCUCAUCACAUCCUGGGGCUGAAGUCGGUCCCAAGGGUAUGGCUGUUCGCCAUUUAAAGUGGUACGCGAGCUGGGUUCAGAACGUCGUGAGACAGUUCGGUCCCUAUCUGCCGUGGGCGUUGGAUGAUUGAAGGGAGUUGCUCCUAGUACGAGAGGACCGGAGUGAACGAACCUCUGGUGUUCGGGUUGUCACGCCAGUGGCACUGCCCGGUAGCUAAGUUCGGAAUCGAUAACCGCUGAAAGCAUCUAAGCGGGAAGCGAGCCCUGAGAUGAGUCAUCCCUGACCCCUUGAGGGUCCUAAAGGGCCGUUGGAGACCACAACGUUGAUAGGUGGGGUGUGUAAGCGCGGCGACGUGUUGAGCUAACCCAUACUAAUUACCCGUGAGGCUUAACCAUACAACACCCAAGAAGUGUUCUG